UGGGGAAUAUUGGACAAUGGACCAAGAGUCUGAUCCAGCAAUUCUGUGUGCACGAUGACGUUUUUCGGAAUGUAAAGUGCUUUCAGUUGGGAAGAAAAAAAUGACGGUACCAACAGAAGAAGUGACGGCUAAAUACGUGCCAGCAGCCGCGGUAAUACGUAUGUCACGAGCGUUAUCCGGAUUUAUUGGGCGUAAAGCGCGUCUAGGUGGUUAUGUAAGUCUGAUGUGAAAAUGCAGGGCUCAACUCUGUAUUGCGUUGGAAACUGUGUAACUAGAGUACUGGAGAGGUAAGCGGAACUACAAGUGUAGAGGUGAAAUUCGUAGAUAUUUGUAGGAAUGCCGAUGGGGAAGCCAGCUUACUGGACAGAUACUGACGCUGAGGCGCGAAAGCGUGGGUAGCAAACAGGAUUAGAUACCCUGGUAGUCCACGCCGUAAACGAUGAUUACUAGGUGUUGGGGGUCGAACCUCAGCGCCCAAGCAAACGCGAUAAGUAAUCCGCCUGGGGAGUACGUACGCAAGUAUG
Molecule: ribosomal RNA, 524 nt
Filed under: uncultured bacterium
Lineage: Bacteria
Description: bacterial SSU rRNA
Rfam family: Bacterial small subunit ribosomal RNA
Source: RNAcentral